This is a small nucleolar RNA of Cynara cardunculus var. scolymus (artichoke), 87 nucleotides long. RefSeq annotates it as small nucleolar RNA R38. NCBI's taxonomy places the organism in Eukaryota, Viridiplantae, Streptophyta, Magnoliopsida, Asterales, Asteraceae. The transcript has a single exon. The record is from RefSeq and is a predicted model, not a curated record.
GGUUGUGGAUGAUGAGAUUCUAUAUUUACACAGUUAUCCCUGUCUGAUAGAUUUAAUCUUGAUGAGAUUAUGUGAUCUGACACAAUC